This 491-nucleotide ribosomal RNA is filed under the name uncultured bacterium. Its description in RNAcentral is "partial 16S ribosomal RNA". It matches the Rfam family "Bacterial small subunit ribosomal RNA", at positions 29 to 507 of the family's 1533-position model. The record is from RNAcentral.
AGUGAACGCUGGCGGUAGGCCUAACACAUGCAAGUCGAACGGCAGCACAGUAAGAGCUUGCUCUUACGGGUGGCGAGUGGCGGACGGGUGAGGAAUACAUCGGAAUCUACUUUUUCGUGGGGGAUAACGUAGGGAAACUUACGCUAAUACCGCAUACGACCUACGGGUGAAAGCAGGGGAUCUUCGGACCUUGCGCGAUUGAAUGAGCCGAUGUCGGAUUAGCUAGUUGGCGGGGUAAGGCCCACCAAGGCGACGAUCCGUAGCCGGUCUGAGAGGAUGAUCAGCCACACUGGAACUGAGACACGGUCCAGACUCCUACGGGAGGCAGCAGUGGGGAAUAUUGGACAAUGGGCGCAAGCCUGAUCCAGCCAUACCGCGUGGGUGAAGAAGGCCUUCGGGUUGUAAAGCCCUUUUGUUGGGAAAGAAAAGCAGCAGGUUAAUACCCCGCUGUUCUGACGGUACCCAAAGAAUAAGCACCGGCUAACUUCGUG